Long non-coding RNA from Gossypium arboreum, 359 nucleotides. RefSeq lists it as uncharacterized. The record is from RefSeq and is a predicted model, not a curated record. Lineage: Eukaryota; Viridiplantae; Streptophyta; Magnoliopsida; Malvales; Malvaceae. The transcript has 2 exons.
AAAAAAUGGCAGCAAAGAAAGGGUUUAGAAGCUGGAAACUUUCAGCAAAGAAACUCCCUUUAUAAGUUUCCAGGUUAGCUCGGGUUGGAGGCCGUCAGAGAUAUUAUCACACUGUCAAGCUAACGCUAUUGGUGUAGUGAUUUCAAGUACUUUGAGCCUAUGGCAUGUAUAGGAGUUUAAAUAUCAGAGUAUAUGAUAUGGCUUUAACCAUAUGUGUUGGCCUAUUUUGAUUAUGGGGUUGUAAAUCUAUUUUAAUUAUGCAUGCAUGUGCUAUGGUAUUAUGUGAUGAGUUUAUAAUGAUUAUAGUAUGAAUAUGGUAAAGAUGUGAGUAAAAUCUAUGAUAUCUAUUGCAUGUGAAA